AGAGGUUGCUUCUGGCUCAGGAUGAACGCUAGCUACAGGCUUAACACAUGCAAGUCGAGGGGCAGCAUGACCUACCAAUAGGUUGAUGGCGACCGGCGCACGGGUGAGUAACACGUAUCCAACCUACCGGUUAUUCCGGGAUAGCCUUUCGAAAGAAAGAUUAAUACCGGAUAGUAUAACGAGAAGGCAUCUUUUUGUUAUUAAAGAAUUUCGAUAACCGAUGGGGAUGCGUUCCAUUAGUUUGUUGGCGGGGUAACGGCCCACCAAGACAUCGAUGGAUAGGGGUUCUGAGAGGAAGGUCCCCCACAUUGGAACUGAGACACGGUCCAAACUCCUACGGGAGGCAGCAGUGAGGAAUAUUGGUCAAUGGACGAGAGUCUGAACCAGCCAAGUAGCGUGAAGGAUGACUGCCCUAUGGGUUGUAAACUUCUUUUAUAUGGGAAUAAAGUGAGCCACGUGUGGCUUUUUGUAUGUACCAUACGAAUAAGGAUCGGCUAACUCCGUGCCAGCAGCCGCGGUAAUACGGAGGAUCCGAGCGUUAUCCGGAUUUAUUGGGUUUAAAGGGAGCGUAGGCGGACUAUUAAGUCAGCUGUGAAAGUUUGCGGCUCAACCGUAAAAUUGCAGUUGAUACUGGUCGUCUUGAGUGCAGUAGAGGUAGGCGGAAUUCGUGGUGUAGCGGUGAAAUGCUUAGAUAUCACGAAGAACUCCGAUUGCGAAGGCAGCUUACUGGACUGUAACUGACGCUGAUGCUCGAAAGUGUGGGUAUCAAACAGGAUUAGAUACCCUGGUAGUCCACACAGUAAA
Molecule: ribosomal RNA, 804 nt
Filed under: uncultured bacterium
Lineage: Bacteria
Description: bacterial SSU rRNA
Rfam family: Bacterial small subunit ribosomal RNA
Source: RNAcentral